CGGCGGGUCUGCUCCCGCUCCCCGGCACCGCGACUUGUUGCACGGCGGCCGUGCGAGGAGCCCGCCCUUGCCCGAUGGAGUUGUUCCGACCCCCGGGCACCGCCGCCCUCGCUGCCCUCAGCAGCUCGCCACCCCCGAGCGUCCCAGCAGCGCUGCCAGAGCCGCGGUGCAGCGGGGCGGAGAGGGGCCAGAGAGGUGGGACCCUUUCUCAACUCCGAUUUCACCGAGAGGCUGCCGAGCUCUCCCACUCCUAUUGGGAACGGAGAGAUGAGACUGCUAGAGCAGCCGAGGGAUGGUGAGAGCUGCGCACCUGGGGAGGAAGGGAAGACUGCCUCUCCUGCCGAUGCACGCUGGGGCGGACAACGGCACCAGAGAGCAGGGGCGGCAGGUGCUGUCCCUCGGUCCCCCCUCGGUCCCUUCUUUCUCAUCCCUGUCACUCGUGUGAGGUGUUGAUGCUCCACAGCUGACUUGUUGGUUGUGACCCUGGGGGAAUGUGGUGUUCAGCCCAGUCUCAAACACAUUGUCCCCGUCCUCCUGCACUUCAUACUUCAUCCUCACACCUUCUAUCUCAGGUUAUGGGUGAUUCCUCUUGUUCUGAUACUGUAAGUGUGUUGCAGGGCUGCACGACUCUGGGCAGCACUGGAAUCCCAGUGACUUUCUGCUCUAUGCUCCCCACGAGACCAGUCCGUCCAAACACAGAAGGAAGCCUUGAACCAGGACAAGCCUGGUCCUGCCUAACACUGUGGGACACGGUCCAGAGGACUGGGAAGUUGCUCAGGGAGAUCUCAAAAAGCAAAGAAACUGGUGGAUCAGGGAAUGCAGACAAAUUCACUUGAAAUCUGCUUCCAGGGUGGCAGGGAAAAGUUCACCUCCUUGAGCAAUGUGAAAAGCAACAGGGAAGGAGAUGCUGCAUUAGCAAGGUCUGAAGGCCAAAAGAAAGAGGAUUAAAUGGCAGCAGGGCCCAAAUCUGGCCCUGGGCAUCCACUGCUCUAGAGAUGCAGAUCUCUGGCCUUAUAGCAGCCACAGUUAUUUGUGUUGUAAACUUAAAGCCACCUCAAAAACACUGCAAAGGCUGAUCAGACCAUGUCCACGGGUUUCAGGUGCACCUGAGAGAGGCUGCUCUGAAUGCAGACAGGGCUUUACCUCCCAUGUGCAGCAUCAGGCUCUGCCAAGAGAAAAAAAAGAAGAGCUCAAACAUCCCACCUCUCCACCCAAAACUCCACUAACAUAACCCAGACACCCAAAGCUGACUCUGCAUGCAGGCUCAGGCUGCAGUUGCUGUUGCAAAUCAUCAGUCUUUCCCUGUUCCCUGGGCUGUGCCUGGCAUUGCUUUGUAGACCUGUACCGGCUGAGAUUUGUCCUUUGUCUCUUCAGAGCCUUUCCUGUGGUUUCUGUGAUGGACAGAGGUAUAUCAGCCGUGAAAAUGAAGGCAAGACUACUUCCAAGAGUACAGGGAAGAGCUCCCUCCCACCUCCAGCUUUUUGCUGCAGGUUCUAUCAAAGCUGUUUCCAGGGCUAUUUGGACAAAAAGUAUUUCAGCUUCCAAAAGCUUCUCUGCCCUGCCAGAGAGGAGGCUGGGGUAUGCAAGAAGAUGGGAGGAGAUGCUGCUGAGACAACUGCCCCAAACUGGCUGUAGGUGUAUCCCAUAUCAUACAGCAUCAUGCUGAACAAAAAAGCUGGAGGGAGAUGGUGAGAGGACUGGCUGGGCAGCAGUCAGUUGAUGGCCUGCAUAUACAGAAGAUACUAAUACAGCAAUGAAAUUUACUGUCUCCUUGUACUGCCUUGGAAGUACAAAUAGUUGUCAAUCUUGCAACAGGAAACGGCAUGUGUUCCCUUCCAAGUGUAUCUCCUUCAGGACCCUGGACUCUGAUUACUGUUACAUGAUGACAUUUCUCAGCACUGUGCCAUGGUCUCUUGCCAGGUAUCUUUUCUUCUCUUGGAGUAUUAGCAGCAAUAAAAAUCCUAUGUGUGACCCAUCUUCAAGUACA
This is a long non-coding RNA of Taeniopygia guttata (zebra finch), 1987 nucleotides long. RefSeq lists it as uncharacterized. Lineage: Eukaryota; Metazoa; Chordata; Aves; Passeriformes; Estrildidae. The record is from RefSeq and is a predicted model, not a curated record.